GAUGAAGAACGUAGCGAAAUGCGAUAAGUAAUGUGAAUUGCAGAAUUCAGUGAAUCAUCGAAUCUUUGAACGCACAUUGCGCCCCUUGGUAUUCCGAGGGGCAUGCCUGUUCGAGCGUCAUUAUAACCCCUCAAGCUCAGCUUGGUGUUGGGGCCUGCUGCACUGGCAGCCCUUAAAAUCAGUGGCGGCGCCAUCUGGCUCUAAGCGUAGUAAUUCUUCUCGCUAUGGAGUCCUGGUGGAUGCUUGCCAUCAACCCCCAAUUUUUCUAUGGUUGACCUCGGAUCAGGUAGGGAUGCCCGCUGAACUUAAGCAUAUCAAUAAGCGGAGGA
RNAcentral lists this unclassified non-coding RNA (329 nucleotides) under soil metagenome. RNAcentral describes it as "partial contains 5.8S ribosomal RNA, internal transcribed spacer 2, and large subunit ribosomal RNA". The stretch from base 1 to 120 matches the Rfam family "5.8S ribosomal RNA", at positions 35 to 154 of the family's 154-position model. The record is from RNAcentral.